Non-coding RNA from Acanthosepion pharaonis, 120 nucleotides. The record is from the annotation of a GenBank genome assembly. NCBI's taxonomy places the organism in Eukaryota, Metazoa, Mollusca, Cephalopoda, Sepiida, Sepiidae.
UACGGUCAAAUCACGUUCUGAAAACACCGGUUCUCGUUCGAUCACCGAAGUUAAGCAUCGUAGAGCCAGGUCAGUACUUUCGAUGGGGACCGCUUGAUGGGGAACACCUGGUACUGUAAG